This 882-nucleotide long non-coding RNA is filed under the name Homo sapiens (human). RNAcentral's name for it is "non-protein coding lnc-SF3A3-1:1". Lineage: Eukaryota; Metazoa; Chordata; Mammalia; Primates; Hominidae. The record is from RNAcentral.
GGUCCGUCUGCAGUCGGCAGCCUCGCCGGCAGCUCGCUCGGCCCCCGCUUGGCCCGGCCCGCAGGUAGGAGCCGCCGAGGGACGCGGCGCCCGGUUCCCGGCCCCGCCUGCGCCGCGCGCUCCCCGCUCCCGCCGCCCGCUUCGAGGAGCUGUUCUAUGAAGACCGCCAUUUCCACGAGGGCUGCUUCCGCUGCUGCCGCUGCCAGCGCUCACUAGCCGAUGAACCCUUCACCUGCCAGGACAGUGAGCUGCUCUGCAAUGACUGCUACUGCAGUGCGUUUUCCUCGCAGUGCUCCGCUUGUGGGGAGACUGUCAUGCCUGACGCUGACACAGGGUGGAGUGACAUACCGUGAUCAGCCGUGGCAUCGAGAAUGUCUGGUCUGUACCGGAUGCCAGACGCCCCUGGCAGGGCAGCAGUUCACCUCCCGGGAUGAAGAUCCCUACUGUGUGGCCUGUUUUGGAGAACUCUUUGCACCUAAGUGCAGCAGCUGCAAGCGCCCCAUCGUAGGACUCGGUGGAGGCAAGUAUGUGUCCUUUGAAGACCGACACUGGCACCACAACUGCUUCUCCUGCGCCCGCUGCUCUACCUCCCUGGUGGGCCAGGGCUUCGUACCGGAUGGAGACCAAGUGCUCUGCCAGGGCUGUAGCCAGGCAGGGCCCUAAGCCAGGGCUCCUGGACCCAGGCUUUCCCAUACCACGGGCCCAGGACUGUGGCUCCUUUUCUAAACCACCUCUGGGACUCAGCUCCCCCCGCCAAAAAAAAUGGGUCUCCUUCUGGGCUCCAGGAUUGUCUCCCCACUCCAGCAUCCCCAAACUGGUACUCCCUGACCCAGGGCCCCAAACCUGGGCUCUUACAGAGCCUCCAUGAGUCAAGCCCCCUCC